AACGAACGCUGGCGGCGCGCCUAAUACAUGCAAGUCGAGCGAGAAGACGUAGCAAUACGUUUGUAAAGCGGCGAACGGGUGAGGAAUACAUGGGUAACCUACCCUCGAGUGGGAAGUAACUAGCCGAAGGUUAGCUAAUACGCGUACGCUCCUUGGACUUCGGUUCAGGGAGGAAAGACGAUACCGUGGGUAUCGCGCUCUUGGAUGGGCGUCAUGCCCUAUCAGCUUGUUGGUGAGGAACGGCUCACCAAGGCUUCGACGGGUAGCUGGUCUGAGAGGACGAUCAGCCACACUGGCACUGCGACACGGGCCA
RNAcentral lists this ribosomal RNA (313 nucleotides) under uncultured bacterium. RNAcentral describes it as "bacterial SSU rRNA". It matches the Rfam family "Bacterial small subunit ribosomal RNA", at positions 29 to 333 of the family's 1533-position model. The record is from RNAcentral.